CGCACAUUGCGCCUCCUGGUAUUCCGGGAGGCAUGCCUGUUCGAGCGUCAUUAUAAUCUACUCAAGCAUUUUUUUGUUUGGUUCUGGGAGAUGAGAAUCAUUAUUGAUACUCACUCUUGAAAUGAAAAGGCGUAGCGCCAUAUGUGCCACAGCGUAGUAAGUUUUCUUUCGCUAAUGGUUACUAUGGUUAUAUUGCCAUAAACCCCCAUAUUUCUCAUAGAUUGACCUCGAAUCAGGUAGGGAUACCCGCUGAACUUAA
This 259-nucleotide unclassified non-coding RNA is filed under the name Pyronemataceae sp. RNAcentral's name for it is "partial contains 5.8S ribosomal RNA, internal transcribed spacer 2, and large subunit ribosomal RNA". The record is from RNAcentral. Lineage: Eukaryota; Fungi; Ascomycota; Pezizomycetes; Pezizales; Pyronemataceae.